CCUGGCGGCAGUAGCGCGGUGGUCCCACCUGACCCCAUGCCGAACUCAGAAGUGAAACGCCGUAGCGCCGAUGGUAGUGUGGGGGUCUCCCCAUGCGAGAGUAGGGAACUGCCAGGG
This 117-nucleotide ribosomal RNA is filed under the name Escherichia coli. Lineage: Bacteria; Pseudomonadati; Pseudomonadota; Gammaproteobacteria; Enterobacterales; Enterobacteriaceae. The record is from RNAcentral.